Molecule: long non-coding RNA, 1097 nt
Organism: Mastomys coucha (southern multimammate mouse)
Lineage: Eukaryota; Metazoa; Chordata; Mammalia; Rodentia; Muridae
Exons: 3
Source: RefSeq, a predicted model, not a curated record
UGCCAAAGAAAAAGGUUCCACUUCCCAUGCCUUUAUGACAGUGGACGCUCACAGCAACAGCCACACCCCAUUCCUCCUGGUCCCCUGUGCUUUCGAGCUUGUAAUUAUUGUCAACACUUGCCCUUCACAGAAAAAGCCAGCCAGGCUCUGCUCUGGACAAACCCUGAUACUCUUGCUGUGCCUGGGAGUUACCGAAGUGGAGAGGGAUUGGAAGUCAGCUCUCUGGUGCUUAAACCGUGGGACAGGAUACAUGCCAUACAGGGGAAGAACCCCACUGGCCUCCGACCUCAUAUGUCUCGCACUCUGGAGGAUGCACAGCACUGUGGCUUCUACUCACAGUGAGCACCUUUGGAGUCUGCUAAAUGUCACAUUCUGAGACCAUAGCUCUCAGCUCUAUGGUAUUGACAGUCAGGAAAAGACAGCACCAGGCCCAGCUGCAGAAGUGCUCUGCCUGGAGCACGGCCCCCAUGGGCCCUCAGCGUAAGGCAGAGAGUGCCUGCCUCUCCAGCACCACACAUCUGCCUUCUGGUACUGUUGACUCCCUCCCCCCCCCAAGCCUAUAAACAAAACAAACCCAAUGACCAAACAAACAGGGAAUUUCCAACUGCUUGGGUAGAAGGCAGCGAAUGUGAGGUGUUAUUUAUUCCCUGCCUGGGUGCCCGGAGCUUGGAAAGAAACAUGCAUGGUGCAAUUCCCUACCAUGCAGGGAGAGAAGCCUUUGAGAGAUGCCGAAGUGCACACAUUCCACCGAGCUUCAAUUAAGAACUGAGAGGAGAUGAGGAGGCUGUCUGGUGGACCAGCAGGCCUCCCUCUCCACGGUCACUUCCUUCCCAAACUGUCUGGUGGACCAGCGGGGCCUUUCUCACCACAGGCACCUCCUUUCUAGGCUCCCCGACUCCCAGAAGUCGGGCUUCUGGUCACCCCCACUUUGACCGGCUUACAGCCCUGGCAGCUGGAAGCCAGGAGUAGAAACCUCGCUAACUCAAUCAAUGAGCUCUGACAAGCCUAAAUGGUUGUUUGGAAGGGGCCUCUCUCAUCCACCUCCCUUGUUGCCCGAAACCUCAAAUACAAUAAAUUAAAUAAAACAUGAGAUACAA